RNAcentral lists this ribosomal RNA (489 nucleotides) under uncultured bacterium. RNAcentral's name for it is "partial 16S ribosomal RNA". It matches the Rfam family "Bacterial small subunit ribosomal RNA", at positions 30 to 523 of the family's 1533-position model. The record is from RNAcentral.
AUUGAACGCUGGCGGCAUGCCUAACACAUGCAAGUCGAACGAGGGUAGCAAUACCUUAGUGGCGGACGGGUGAGGAAUACGUAGGAAUUUGCCCUUACGUGGGGGAUAGCCCGGGGAAACCCGGAUUAAUACCGCAUGAUCUCGAGAGAGCAAAGUCGGGGACCUUCGGGCCUGGCGCUUUUGGAGAAGCCUACGUCGGAUUAGCUUGUUGGUGAGGUAAUGGCUCACCAAGGCCGCGAUCCGUAACUGGUCUGAGAGGAUGAUCAGUCACACCGGAACUGAGACACGGUCCGGACUCCUACGGGAGGCAGCAGUGGGGAAUAUUGGACAAUGGGCGAAAGCCUGAUCCAGCAAUGCCGCGUGUGUGAAGAAGGCCUUCGGGUUGUAAAGCACUUUAGGCUGGAAAGAAAAAGCUUUGGCUAAUAUCCAAAGCCUUGACGGUACCAGCAGAAUAAGCACCGGCUAACUCUGUGCCAGCAGCCGCAGUAA